UUCUAGUUAAUUAAUUCAAAUUAUAUCCUGGCCUUUGACAUUAGCACAGUUAUUAUUUGAGCCACCACAUGUAACUAUGUUGAAAAUUGCAAGGAAACAACUUGAGCCCCAAUCUCAAUACAGCUGAUCCAGAGAGAACCAUUUCAUAAUUCCUGACGGUUCCAUUAGUCAUACUGGUUGGUUUUGAUUGAAACUCAGAAUUCUGCAAGUCAUAUUCCCACAAUAUUGUCAGUAUUCAGUUCCAUUUUAAACCUAUUAAACUUUUGUUUGAAAAGAAGAGAAAAUACAUACACUGUAACAGGCACAUAAUAAGAGCUGGGCCUUGGUUUGCAGCAAAGAGAGACCAAAGUUUCCAACAGGAUAAGGAAGAGGAUGCAACUUUUUUUCUUUUUUUCUUUUUUCUUCCUCAAAGUGAAGAUUGGGUGUAGGUCAACAAGCCUUGUGGACCAGCUUUUAGGGUUCCCAAUGGAGAAAGACACAACAAAAAUACACACACUAACUUUGUACCCCUGAUGCUGCUGCUCCAAUCCAAGAGCAAGAGAACUAGAGAAGGCUUGUUCCCAAUUGAUUGCUCUCCAUGUCUGUCUCUGGCUCUCUCUUUCUCUUUUAUCUCCUAUGCAAUGCAGGGCUUGAGGGACACAAAUGAAGGACUUGCAGGCUGAUCCAGUAGCAAAAAACCAAAAGGGCACAUGGAAUGCUGCCUGUUCUCAGAAGUAUUAACCACAUUUCACAGACUGACUUGGGCAGGGGGCAAGGGUGGUAAACGGACAGUGCAAGUGUGAAUGGGG
Molecule: long non-coding RNA, 788 nt
Filed under: Physcomitrium patens
Lineage: Eukaryota; Viridiplantae; Streptophyta; Bryopsida; Funariales; Funariaceae
Description: long non-coding RNA (PPAT_LNC000527)
Source: RNAcentral